Molecule: transfer RNA, 66 nt
Filed under: Antilochus coquebertii
Lineage: Eukaryota; Metazoa; Arthropoda; Insecta; Hemiptera; Pyrrhocoridae
Also listed under: 1 other name
Description: tRNA-Leu
Source: RNAcentral
UCUAAUAUGGCAGAACAGUGCAAUGAAUUUAAGACUCAUAAAGAAAGAAUUAAUCUUUUAUUAGAA